This 564-nucleotide long non-coding RNA is filed under the name Nicotiana benthamiana. RNAcentral describes it as "long non-coding RNA (NBEN_LNC025863)". The record is from RNAcentral. Lineage: Eukaryota; Viridiplantae; Streptophyta; Magnoliopsida; Solanales; Solanaceae.
UUGAAACCUAGAGCCCUUUCCUGUGUCUUCAUUGGGUAUCCUUUUGCCAAAAAGGGUUAUAAGCUUUAUGACCUUACUUCAAAGAAAUACUUUAUCUCCAGGGAUGUUAUAUUUCAUGAAACCUACUUUCCUUUUAAGAAUGUUUCAUCUCCUUAUCCUUCUUCCUUUCCCUCAGUUCCUCCUCUUGAGCCUUCCUUCUCUGACACUGACUUGUUGAUACCGGUUUGUUCCUCUCCUCCUCCUCCUUCUGCCACCACUUCUCCUUCUUUUAAUCCAGCCUUCAUUCCUUCCUUCAAUCCUCUCCUCCUAAUUUGCCUUCUUCCACAUCUGCCUCUCCUUCUUCUAAUCCAGCCUCCAUUCCUCCCUUCAAUCCUUAUACCUCUCCUCCUAAUUUGCCUUCUUCCACAUCUGCUCCUGCUCCUAGAAAAUCUGGAAGACAGCAUAAUCCUCCCUCUUAUCUUAAGGACUAUGUCUGCCAACUUCCAGCCUUUUCUGGCUCCUCUUCUUAUUCUCUGGAAUCUGAACCUCUCUAUUACUCUCAAGCUGCAUCUGUUCCAGUAUGGC